GAGGAAGCCCAGGUGAGGAAGAGGAUGGAUGAGAAGGAAACUGGGUCUCCGUCAAGUCAUUUAAACUCCAGGCACAUGACUGAAGGCUGAGUAUUUCCGUGAGAUGGACAUCUUCCGCCUUAUUCCAAUGUGAUGUGGGUUGUGUGCCUUGCGCAACUGUAAUACUCCCAACAGAUGUGCUCCAGGGUGUCUUUCUCAGCCCACGGUGGAUUUGAAGGGUCCUGCGCCCGGAACCAGGCUCGCAGUCGGGAACAGAAGAGCGGAUCCGGACGGCGACGCGCCCGCGGGCUACCUCGGGGCAGAGGAGAGCUCAGGUCAGCGCGUCGCAGGCUUCACUCCGGGGCUCUCGCUAAGGAAAAUGAACCCGUCCUCCAGGUCCCCGCGCCCCAGAGCCGCCGGAGCGCGCGGCUGCGCAGCCCGGGAUACAGAGCUGCUGCUCCGGGGGGCGGCGCCCCGGAACCCGGCUGGGCUCGGAUUUCCGAAGCUGCAAUCUCUCUGCGCUGCGCAGACCAGCGCCCGCUCCCCUCCCGGGCCGGGCUGCGCGGGCCGGAAACCAGAAUCAGAUCAAUGCUCCUGUGAUCAGGGCGGCAGCCGAGGGGCCGCGGACCGAGACGCGUGAAGCCCGCGCCAUCGCCCACGAGGAACCCAAGCACUGCGUGCUGCAAGCAUGCACGAGCGAGAACGGACUGAACUGUAACAAACAGCCACAGAGCUGCUGACCAAACCCAGAAGAAUUGUGGUCUCACCCUCGGAACCCAGGAGUCUGAAAUCCAGGUGUUGGCAGGGCGAGCUUCCCUCUGAAGGCUCUCUCCACACCACGAACGAUGACACCGCCCGAGUUUAUUGGAAGCAUAGCCCUGGACCCCCGUCCGUAAUUCCUGAGUCACAGCUGUUUAAC
RNAcentral lists this long non-coding RNA (898 nucleotides) under Heterocephalus glaber (naked mole-rat). RNAcentral's name for it is "lncRNA (ENSHGLG00000032880.1)". Lineage: Eukaryota; Metazoa; Chordata; Mammalia; Rodentia; Bathyergidae. The record is from RNAcentral.